AAUCAAGGCUGCCACCAAGGAGAGAGAGCUCCUGUUCCCUCUGGGCAGAAAAUCCAAAAAUUUGGGAUUAUUUGGGGUGAGAAUUGGGGCUGCCACCAAGGAGAGAGAGCUCCUGUUCCCCCUGGGCAGGCACCCCAGAAAUUUGGGAUUAUUUGGGGUGAGAAUUGAGGCUGCCCUGCCACCAAGGAGAGCUCCUGUUCCCCCUGGGCAGGCACCCCAGAAAUUUGGGAUUAUUUGGGGUGAGAAUUGGGGCUGCCACCAAGGAGAGAGAGCUCCUGUUCCCCCUGGGCAGGCACCCCAGAAAUUUGGGAUUAUGGGGUGAAAAUCGAGGCUGCCACCAAGGAGAGAGAGCUCCUGUUCCCCCUGGGCAGAAAACCCAGAAAUUUGGGAUUAUUUGGGGUGAGAAUUGAGGCUGCCACCAAGGAGAGAGAGCUCCUGUUCCCCUUGGGCAGGCAACCCAAAGAUUUGGGAUUUGGGGAAGAAUUAAGGCUGACCUGCCACCAAGGAGAGCUCCUGUUCCCUCUGGGCAGAAAACCCAGAGAUUUGGGAUUAUGGGGUGAGAAUUGAGGCUGCCCUGCCACCAAGGAGAGCUCCUGUUCCCCCUGGGCAGGCACCCCAGAAAUUUGGGAUUAUUUGGGGUGAGAAUUGAGGCUGCCACCAAGGAGAGCUCCUGUUCCCUCUGGGCAGAAAACCCAAAAAUUUGGGAUUAUUUGGGGUGAGAAUCGAGGCUGCCCUGCCACCAAGGAGAGCUCCUGUUCCUCCUGGGCAGGCACCCCAGAAAUUUGGGAUUAUGGGGAAAAUCGAGGCUGCCACCAAGGGAGAGCUCCUGUUACCUCUGGGCAGAAAACCCAGAAAUUUGGGAUUAUUUGGGGUGAGAACUGAGGCUGCCACCAAGGAAAGAGCUCCUGUUCCCCCUGGGCAGGCUGGCACUGCCAGUGGGAAAGGGAUGGGAACCCACCCAAACCCAGCCCCUCGUGGAUUUUCAUCCGUGUCUCCUUCCCCUCGAGUUCCAUCUCAGUAUUUCAAAUUAUAACUCAGGUGUUGUAGGAGAGAAACAAAGAGCGUUAACUUAAAUGUCACGUGAAUUGUACAGAUAUUUGUAAAAUUCCAUAAAUAAAAUAUAUUCUGUAAUGAC
Zonotrichia leucophrys gambelii is the source of this 1135-nucleotide long non-coding RNA. RefSeq lists it as uncharacterized. The record is from RefSeq and is a predicted model, not a curated record. The transcript is spliced from 2 exons. NCBI's taxonomy places the organism in Eukaryota, Metazoa, Chordata, Aves, Passeriformes, Passerellidae.